GGAAGGGUCGCUCAGCGGUAGAGUACCGCGGUACCAUCCGGGACCGCGGCGGCAUUUCGCCUCGUGGCGUUCGAAUCCCACCCCUUCCG
Molecule: transfer RNA, 89 nt
Filed under: Natrinema mahii
Lineage: Archaea; Methanobacteriati; Methanobacteriota; Halobacteria; Halobacteriales; Natrialbaceae
Description: Haloterrigena sp. H13 tRNA-Gly
Rfam family: tRNA
About the family: Transfer RNA (tRNA) molecules are approximately 80 nucleotides in length. Their secondary structure includes four short double-helical elements and three loops (D, anti-codon, and T loops). Further hydrogen bonds mediate the characteristic L-shaped molecular structure. tRNAs have two regions of fundamental functional importance: the anti-codon, which is responsible for specific mRNA codon recognition, and the 3' end, to which the tRNAs corresponding amino acid is attached (by aminoacyl-tRNA synthetases). tRNAs cope with the degeneracy of the genetic code in two manners: having more than one tRNA (with a specific anti-codon) for a particular amino acid; and 'wobble' base-pairing, i.e. permitting non-standard base-pairing at the 3rd anti-codon position.
Source: RNAcentral